RNAcentral lists this ribosomal RNA (584 nucleotides) under uncultured bacterium. Its description in RNAcentral is "partial 16S ribosomal RNA". It matches the Rfam family "Bacterial small subunit ribosomal RNA", at positions 355 to 1375 of the family's 1533-position model. The record is from RNAcentral.
UGGGGAAUUUUGGACAAUGGGCGAAAGCCUGAUCCAGCAAUGCCGCGUGUGUGAAGAAGGCCUUCGGGUUGUAAAGCACUUUUGUCCGGAAAGAAAUCCUUGGCUCUAAUACAGUCGGGGGAUGACGGUACCGGAAGAAUAAGCACCGGCUAACUACGUGCCAGCAGCCGCGGUAAUACGUAGGGUGCAAGCGUUAAUCGGAAUUACUGGGCGUAAAGCGUGCGCAGGCGGUUUGCUAAGACCGAUGUGAAAUCCCCGGGCUCAACCUGGGAACUGCAUUGGUGACUGGCAGGCUAGAGUAUGGCAGAGGGGGGUAGAAUUCCACGUGUAGCAGUGAAAUGCGUAGAGAUGUGGAGGAAUACCGAUGGCGAAGGCAGCCCCCUGGGCCAAUACUGACGCUCAUGCACGAAAGCGUGGGGAGCAAACAGGAUUAGAUACCCUGGUAGUCCACGCCCUAAACGAUGUCAACUAGUUGUUGGGGAUCAUUUCCUUAGUAACGUAGCUAACGCGUGAAGUUGACCGCCUGGGGAGUACGGUCGCAAGAUUAAAACUCAAAGGAAUUGACGGGGUCAUAGCUGUUUCCU